Rhea pennata is the source of this 471-nucleotide long non-coding RNA. RefSeq lists it as uncharacterized. The transcript is spliced from 2 exons. The record is from RefSeq and is a predicted model, not a curated record. Lineage: Eukaryota; Metazoa; Chordata; Aves; Rheiformes; Rheidae.
UGUCAAGGGCACCACAACAGAUAGAUCUAGCUAAGCCACACAGCACUGUAGUGGCAGAAACAAGAAAAGGAAAUACUUGAGACAAAAUAGCUAUAUUAUAUUAAGUACUGCAAUUGCACUUUAUGCUUCGCUUACAGGCUGUGGAAAACCUACCAGUGUUGCCAUUCUAUCCAGAGGAAGCAGAGCAGAACCUUCAAAGUACAUCAGGCAACAAGAAGCAAGUAAGAUCGCUGUCUUUGUUAACACUUGAAGAGAAGUGAGAAGGGAGUGAAGUGAAAGGAGAAAAAAGAACAGAGAAAAGAUUCAGCUUAGAAGAGCUGUUUUAUUUUACAAAUAAAAUAGCUAUUCCUCUUAGUAAGUCUUCAAACUACGCAACGAAAUAAUAUCACUGGACUAUAUUUCACACUGUUAAACCUUUUGCAUUGCAUACUUCACUACUCACAUUAUCUAAAUAAAACUGGAAGACUUGUA